This 1463-nucleotide ribosomal RNA is filed under the name uncultured Klebsiella sp. RNAcentral's name for it is "bacterial SSU rRNA". It matches the Rfam family "Bacterial small subunit ribosomal RNA". The record is from RNAcentral. Lineage: Bacteria; Pseudomonadati; Pseudomonadota; Gammaproteobacteria; Enterobacterales; Enterobacteriaceae.
AUCGAACGCUGGCGGCAGGCCUAACACAUGCAAGUCGAGCGGUAGCACAGAGAGCUUGCUCUCGGGUGACGAGCGGCGGACGGGUGAGUAAUGUCUGGGAAACUGCCUGAUGGAGGGGGAUAACUACUGGAAACGGUAGCUAAUACCGCAUAAUGUCGCAAGACCAAAGUGGGGGACCUUCGGGCCUCAUGCCAUCAGAUGUGCCCAGAUGGGAUUAGCUAGUAGGUGGGGUAACGGCUCACCUAGGCGACGAUCCCUAGCUGGUCUGAGAGGAUGACCAGCCACACUGGAACUGAGACACGGCCCAGACUCCUACGGGAGGCAGCAGUGGGGAAUAUUGCACAAUGGGCGCAAGCCUGAUGCAGCCAUGCCGCGUGUGUGAAGAAGGCCUUCGGGUUGUAAAGCACUUUCAGCGGGGAGGAAGGCGGUGAGGUUAAUAACCUCAUCGAUUGACGUUACCCGCAGAAGAAGCACCGGCUAACUCCGUGCCAGCAGCCGCGGUAAUACGGAGGGUGCAAGCGUUAAUCGGAAUUACUGGGCGUAAAGCGCACGCAGGCGGUCUGUCAAGUCGGAUGUGAAAUCCCCGGGCUCAACCUGGGAACUGCAUUCGAAACUGGCAGGCUAGAGUCUUGUAGAGGGGGGUAGAAUUCCAGGUGUAGCGGUGAAAUGCGUAGAGAUCUGGAGGAAUACCGGUGGCGAAGGCGGCCCCCUGGACAAAGACUGACGCUCAGGUGCGAAAGCGUGGGGAGCAAACAGGAUUAGAUACCCUGGUAGUCCACGCCGUAAACGAUGUCGAUUUGGAGGUUGUGCCCUUGAGGCGUGGCUUCCGGAGCUAACGCGUUAAAUCGACCGCCUGGGGAGUACGGCCGCAAGGUUAAAACUCAAAUGAAUUGACGGGGGCCCGCACAAGCGGUGGAGCAUGUGGUUUAAUUCGAUGCAACGCGAAGAACCUUACCUGGUCUUGACAUCCACAGAACUUAGCAGAGAUGCUUUGGUGCCUUCGGGAACUGUGAGACAGGUGCUGCAUGGCUGUCGUCAGCUCGUGUUGUGAAAUGUUGGGUUAAGUCCCGCAACGAGCGCAACCCUUAUCCUUUGUUGCCAGCGGUCCGGCCGGGAACUCAAAGGAGACUGCCAGUGAUAAACUGGAGGAAGGUGGGGAUGACGUCAAGUCAUCAUGGCCCUUACGACCAGGGCUACACACGUGCUACAAUGGCAUAUACAAAGAGAAGCGACCUCGCGAGAGCAAGCGGACCUCAUAAAGUAUGUCGUAGUCCGGAUUGGAGUCUGCAACUCGACUCCAUGAAGUCGGAAUCGCUAGUAAUCGUAGAUCAGAAUGCUACGGUGAAUACGUUCCCGGGCCUUGUACACACCGCCCGUCACACCAUGGGAGUGGGUUGCAAAAGAAGUAGGUAGCUUAACCUUCGGGAGGGCGCUUACCACUUUGUGAUUCAUGACUGGGGUGA